RNAcentral lists this ribosomal RNA (262 nucleotides) under uncultured archaeon. Its description in RNAcentral is "partial 16S ribosomal RNA". It matches the Rfam family "Archaeal small subunit ribosomal RNA", at positions 716 to 982 of the family's 1478-position model. The record is from RNAcentral.
ACGUCUACAUUAGAUACCCCCGUAGUCCCAGCCGUAAACUAUGCGCGUUAGGUGUAUCGGUGACCACGAGUCACCGAGGUGCCGAAGGGAAACCGUGAAACGUGCCGCCUGGGAAGUACGGUCGCAAGGCUGAAACUUAAAGGAAUUGGCGGGGAGCACAACAACGGGUGGAGCCUGCGGUUUAAUUGGACUCAACGCAGGGAAGCUCACCGGAUAAGACAGCGGAAUGAUUGCCGGGCUGAAGACUCUGCAUGACUAGCUG